This 449-nucleotide long non-coding RNA is filed under the name Ananas comosus (pineapple). RNAcentral describes it as "long non-coding RNA (ACOM_LNC010048)". Lineage: Eukaryota; Viridiplantae; Streptophyta; Magnoliopsida; Poales; Bromeliaceae. The record is from RNAcentral.
UUAUCAUUCAAUCUGAAGAUAUGAGAUGAUUGUGGGGAAGAGCCUCAAUUUAUAACAAUACUAGUAAAGCACCCGUGCGUUGUGGUAGAUUGAUUUUGCAAAAAUAAAUAAAUAAAUAAAAUUAGAAAAAAGCUUUAAAUAUCUCUUUUGUGGUUUAGUAUUUUCUCAUUUUAGUACUCUGUAUUUUAAAAUAUAUCAUUUAAGUACCCUGCGGUUUUAUUUUUGUUCUUUUUAUCAACACUUCCGUUAACUCUCCAUGAAAAUAUAUAAAAAAAACUUCAGAUACUCCUGUGGUUUAUCGCAUAUUCACUUUAUACCUUAUGUUUUACAAAAUUUUUCUUUAAAACUCUGUAGUUUUAACUUUCUCACUGAUUUAACAGAAAAAUAAGCAAAUGGAAUAACAGUAAGAGAAAAACAAAACCAUGGGGUGUUAAAGUGAUAUAGUUUAA